Molecule: long non-coding RNA, 1050 nt
Filed under: Neodiprion lecontei (redheaded pine sawfly)
Lineage: Eukaryota; Metazoa; Arthropoda; Insecta; Hymenoptera; Diprionidae
Description: uncharacterized LOC124294500
Source: RNAcentral
UCGCGUUAUUAUACUAUAUAUAAUACAUGUAGUUAUACAUACGUACGUACUACGAUGUGGAAUUCAUCGCACGCAGCAGAUGUACUAUCCGCAUUUCGGCUUGUCAUUUGGAGAAGUUAAAAACGAGCAAAGUGACUCUCGCCAAUUAGCCAGCGUCUGAAAGCAAAGAUGAAGAAGAGGCUCGACCGGAGGACAGGCAGCGAACUCGAUCGGAUCCGAGGACGGCAAAUCUGGCGGAUCUCCAACGCGCUUUGUGUACCUCCAUCCCUCUCUUCUCCUCUCUCUCGCCGUCUCUCGCUCUCUUGGCGGUGGCUUCAUUGUCCGCUCGGGAGGAAAAGCCGAUAUUGAGAACGUUCGCAAAGCCCCCAACGGGUAUGCCUACGUACCUAUUUUAUUUUCGCCUCUACACAUAUACGUAUCCGUACACAGACAAGAGGUGCACGUAGCUGAUGCGAUGCCACGGCGGCAGCUCCAACGGCAGUCCCGCAGCAGCGGCAACAGCAGCCUCGUGCCCUCGGGGCAAAUCCCGAACCCCGAUCCUCCCGACGUAAACUUGCAAACCCUAACCUUCCGGAGGUUGCAGGUAUGUAGGUAUUCACGAAGAGAUGGAUGCAGGUAUAGAGGCAACGCAUGCCGCGUGUACACGCCUCACCCACGUUCAUCCGUCUCAAGGAGAAACUCGCGGAAAGUAUCGCAGACCGCAAAUUGCACCCGAUUGUACCCUCUGUACGCACACGGCAUCCAGAGUUUCAGAUGAAUGAUGGACAAAUUCUUCUGCGGUGGAGUAAAUCAAGAAAAAGAAAGAACUGAGAUUUUAAUCAACGGUCACUGUCGACACGAUAAUACACUCAGCACUAAGUGAGCACUGAAUUGCGCUAAUCGACAUCAGCGAAUCAGCUAUCGUGCGCUUCGAGGAAUUUACAGGAACGUCAUCUUGGAUGUCCUUACCAUCAUAACAUGUAAAUUAGAAUAGAAUUUGAGGAUGAUGGAAUAUAAAGUGUAUUUUCUCACGAUCAAACCAGUGAUUAAUAAACUAAAAUAAAUUUCAAA